GACGAACGCUGGCGGCGUGCUUAACACAUGCAAGUCGAACGGAAAGGCCCUGCUUUUGUGGGGUGCUCGAGUGGCGAACGGGUGAGUAACACGUGAGUAACCUGCCCUUGACUUUGGGAUAACUUCAGGAAACUGGGGCUAAUAACGGAUAGGAGCUCCUGCUGCAUGGUGGGGGUUGGAAAGUUUCGGCGGUUGGGGAUGGACUGGCGGCUUAUCGGCUUGUUGGUGGGGUAGUGGCUUACCAAGGCUUUGACGGGUAGCCGGCCUGAGAGGGUGACCGGCCACAUUGGGACUGAGAUACGGCCCAGACUACUACGGUAGGCAGCAGUGGGGAAGAGUGCACAAUGGGCGGAAGCCUGAUGCAGCAACGCCGCGUGCGGGAUGACGUCCUUCGGGUAGUAAACCGCUUUCGCCUGUGACGAAGCGUGAGUGACGGUAAUGGGUAAAGAAGCACCGGCUAACUACGUG
This 468-nucleotide ribosomal RNA is filed under the name uncultured bacterium. RNAcentral's name for it is "partial 16S ribosomal RNA". It matches the Rfam family "Bacterial small subunit ribosomal RNA", at positions 28 to 507 of the family's 1533-position model. The record is from RNAcentral.